Lepisosteus oculatus (spotted gar) is the source of this 197-nucleotide long non-coding RNA. RefSeq lists it as uncharacterized. The record is from RefSeq and is a predicted model, not a curated record. NCBI's taxonomy places the organism in Eukaryota, Metazoa, Chordata, Actinopteri, Semionotiformes, Lepisosteidae.
GCGGGAGAAACUAUUUUGCCGGUGAGAAAUUCGAGCAGCUUAUUUAUUUGAAACAUCUUGGAGUGGAGAAAACUUUCAUUGAUGAUGUGAUGCCAGGUGACAAUACUGACAAAGACUGCUGCAUCCUUCAUUCUGACAUCCUUGAACCAGCUCCAAUGUUGUGUGGACUUAGUCUACUUAGGGGCGGAGCGGUGGCU